GACAUUCUAGUUCAUUUAUUAAGUGUUUCGCCCAAGCCAAUGAUCCAAAACGAUUAAGACUUAGCUUGCAUCGAUUAUGCUUAUUGUCAACAUACCCUAUGGUGUCUUAGGCAUCCCUCAUAUAUGCGAUACCCAUGCUUCCUAAUAGAUCAUACCAUGUCAAAACUUAUUUUUUUCUUUCAAACACAGUGCAGAUAUAUACUACGAAUAUAAGCAUGCACACC
Molecule: long non-coding RNA, 224 nt
Filed under: Setaria italica (foxtail millet)
Lineage: Eukaryota; Viridiplantae; Streptophyta; Magnoliopsida; Poales; Poaceae
Description: long non-coding RNA (SITA_LNC003003)
Source: RNAcentral